AUUGAACGCUGGCGGCAGGCUUAACACAUGCAAGUCGAGCGGAGAGAGGUAGCUUGCUACUGAUCUUAGCGGCGGACGGGUGAGUAAUGCUUAGGAAUCUGCCUAUUAGUGGGGGACAACAUUUCUAAAGGAAUGCUAAUACCGCAUACGUCCUACGGGAGAAAGCAGGGGAUCUUCGGACCUUGCGCUAAUAGAUGAGCCUAAGUCGGAUUAGCUAGUUGGUGGGGUAAAGGCCUACCAAGGCGACGAUCUGUAGCGGGUCUGAGAGGAUGAUCCGCCACACUGGGACUGAGACACGGCCCAGACUCCUACGGGAGGCAGAAGUGGGGAAUAUUGGACAAUGGGCGCAAGCCUGAUCCAGCCAUGCCGCGUGUGUGAAGAAGGCCUUAUGGUUGUAAAGCACUUUAAGCGAGGAGGAGGCUACUUUAGAUAAUACCUAGAGAUAGUGGACGUUACUCGCAGAAUAAGCACCGGCUAACUCUGUGCCAGCCGCCGCGGUAA
Molecule: ribosomal RNA, 501 nt
Filed under: uncultured bacterium
Lineage: Bacteria
Description: partial 16S ribosomal RNA
Rfam family: Bacterial small subunit ribosomal RNA
Source: RNAcentral